RNAcentral lists this unclassified non-coding RNA (818 nucleotides) under Hevea brasiliensis (rubber tree). Lineage: Eukaryota; Viridiplantae; Streptophyta; Magnoliopsida; Malpighiales; Euphorbiaceae. The record is from RNAcentral.
CAUCAAUGUUGUCAGCUCGGCUUAACCUCGUUUCUCCCUCAUCAGCUGCACUCUGAGCUCAAGCCAGGUUUCACUGUGAUUUUCGGGCCUAAUCCCAGCCAGGAUAGAUUCUCCUCCUGCUCUUUCUUCACUUUGCCAGCUGAUUCUGUAGUUUCAUACGGAGCUCUCGCUUGGAUCCGUUCUUUUCUCUUUUCCAUGAAUCGGUGGAGGGAUUUAUUUCUUGCAAUCGGGAGAUAUGAAACACUUGGCUGGGGCGGCUUUGCUGCAGAUCCCUGCACAACCGUAGUGUUGGUGGUAGGGACGUUUAGCUGCUUUGAGGUGGCAGUAGCCGGGGUGGCAGUUGCCGGUGGAAGGAGGAAAUUUUGCGCUGCAGGUCUGCCACUCUUUCCGGCCAUCUGCAUCAGGUCCUUAGCCUUCUCUGCUGGGAAAUUGUCAAAGACCAACACCUUCCCGCCGUAAAAUAUCGUCAACUGUGAUUUCUUCGGCGGCCCAUUACUGGCAUCCGUCUCCGUCACCGCCAACGCCGGCGCCUCCGCGGGCGGCGGUGGUGCCGCCGCUCCAAAUCCAGCUUGCUGUGGAAACAGAUCCAUGGAUCUCACCUUCCCGCCGGACUCCCCGUCCUUCUUCUCAGCACCCGGCAUCAAGCUCAUCGUCGCCGGCUGUCGCACAGCCGCACCGAGAUCUGCGAGCGCCCGGUUCUCCUUGAUGUAUUGGCUGAGCAGAUUGCAGGUGACGGCGAAGCUUGAUUUCUGGCUCAUAUCUCUCAUCACAAUUGAGAAAAAUCGAAUGAAGAUAAUGAAGAAUUUGAGAGAUGAUGA